CAGUCGCCACGGUAAGACGAACCGUGCGAACGUUAUUCGGAAUCACUGGGCUUAAAGCGCGUGUAGGCGGGAGGGCACGUCCGUCGCUGAAAUCCCCCGGCUCAACCGGGGAACGGGCGCGGAUACGACUCCUCUGGAGGAACGUAGGGGGACCUGGAACUUCCGGUGGAGCGGUGAAAUGCGUUGAGAUCGGAAGGAACGCCCGUGGCGAAAGCGAGGUCCUGGACGUUUACUGACGCUGAGACGCGAAAGCCAGGGGAGCGAACGGGAUUAGAUACCCCGGUAGUCCCUGUCUCUUAUU
RNAcentral lists this ribosomal RNA (301 nucleotides) under uncultured bacterium. RNAcentral's name for it is "partial 16S ribosomal RNA". It matches the Rfam family "Bacterial small subunit ribosomal RNA", at positions 509 to 807 of the family's 1533-position model. The record is from RNAcentral.